AUGCCGAUGUCCGUAGAACUCGAUUCAAAGUCCUCAAAGUCUCCGCUGAUCUCUCUACUGCAUUUGCAUCCAUUGCACUUCCCAACACGCACUCAUAGUCAUAGCCGACCAGCCAUGGCGAAGAUGCUGAUGCCAUCGCCCCGAUCUCUCGUCCUCCUCCUCCUCCUCGCCACCCCCUUCUUCGUCCUCCUCCCCAACCCCUCCUCCGCCUCAUCCCACGCCUCCCUCCGGAAGUACACCGAGGAGGUCAACGAGGCCCACGUGGUCGUCCUCACCGCAGCCAACUUCUCCUCCUUCCUCGACGUCCGCCGCCAUGUCGUGGUCGACUUCUACGCGCCCUGGUCCUACUGGUCCCGCAAGCUCGCCCCGGUGUACGCCGCGGCCGCGUCGCACCUGGCCGACAAGGGGCUCGACGUCACGCUCGCCAAGGUCGACGCCACCCAGGACCGUCAGCUCGCGCGCGCCCACGGCGUCGACGGAUACCCCACCGUCCUCUUCUUCGUCGACGGCAUGGCCAGGCACUACCCCUACUAUGGCGAGAGGACCAAGGGCUGA
RNAcentral lists this ribosomal RNA (555 nucleotides) under Triticum aestivum (bread wheat). Its description in RNAcentral is "partial small subunit ribosomal RNA". The record is from RNAcentral. Lineage: Eukaryota; Viridiplantae; Streptophyta; Magnoliopsida; Poales; Poaceae.